AUUGAACGCUGGCGGCAUGCCUUACACAUGCAAGUCGAACGGUAACAGGCCUUCGGGUGCUGUCGAGUGGUGACGGGGUGAGUAAGGGUUAGGAACGUGUCCAGAGGUGGUGGAUAAGGGAGCAAAACCUGUGCUAAUACCGCAUGUCAGCUGAGAAUUGAAACGGGGGACCACGCAGGAAUGUUAGGCCUUGCGCCUUUGGAACAGCCGAUGUCAGAUUAGGUAGUUGGUGGGGUAAAGGCCUACCAAGCCGACGAUCUGUAGCUGGUCUGAGAGGACGACCGGCCACACUGGAACUGAGACACGGCCCAGACUCCUACGGGAGGCAGCAGUGGGGAAUUUUGGACAAUGGGCGCAAGCCUGAUCCAGCAAUGCCGCGUGAGGGAAGAAGGCUUUCGGGUUGUAAAACGCUUUUGUACGGAAAGAAAAGGCUCUGGCUAAUACCUGGGGGUGAUGACGGUACCGAAAGAAUAAGCACCGGCUAACUACGUG
RNAcentral lists this ribosomal RNA (492 nucleotides) under uncultured bacterium. RNAcentral describes it as "partial 16S ribosomal RNA". It matches the Rfam family "Bacterial small subunit ribosomal RNA", at positions 30 to 507 of the family's 1533-position model. The record is from RNAcentral.